This 465-nucleotide ribosomal RNA is filed under the name Vreelandella stevensii. RNAcentral describes it as "partial 16S ribosomal RNA". It matches the Rfam family "Bacterial small subunit ribosomal RNA", at positions 338 to 795 of the family's 1533-position model. Lineage: Bacteria; Pseudomonadati; Pseudomonadota; Gammaproteobacteria; Oceanospirillales; Halomonadaceae. The record is from RNAcentral.
CCUACGGGUGGCAGCAGUGGGGAAUAUUGGACAAUGGGCGAAAGCCUGAUCCAGCCAUGCCGCGUGUGUGAAGAAGGCCUUCGGGUUGUAAAGCACUUUCAGUGGGGAAGAAAGCCUUGGGGCUAAUACCCUCGAGGAAGGACAUCACCCACAGAAGAAGCACCGGCUAACUCCGUGCCAGCAGCCGCGGUAAUACGGAGGGUGCGAGCGUUAAUCGGAAUUACUGGGCGUAAAGCGCGCGUAGGCGGUCUGAUAAGCCGGUUGUGAAAGCCCCGGGCUCAACCUGGGAACGGCAUCCGGAACUGUCAGGCUAGAGUGCAGCAGAGGAAGGUAGAAUUCCCGGUGUAGCGGUGAAAUGCGUAGAGAUCGGGAGGAAUACCAGUGGCGAAGGCGGCCUUCUGGACUGACACUGACGCUGAGGUGCGAAAGCGUGGGUAGCAAACAGGAUUAGAUACCCCAGUAGUC